GAUGAACGCUGGCGGCGUGCCUAAUACAUGCAAGUCGAGCGGACGGACGAGAAGCUUGCCGCUCUGACGUUAGCCGCGGACGGGUGAGUAACACGUGUAUAACCCACCUAUAUGACUGGGAUAACUUCGAGAAACCGGAUCUAAUACCGUAUAAUAUCUUGAACCGCAUGGUUCAAUAGUGAAAUACGGUGUUUCUGUCACUUAUAGAUGGAUCCGCGCUGCAUUAGCUAGUUGGUAAGUUAACGGGUUAGCAAGGCAACGAUGCGUAGCCGAACUGAGAGGGGGAUAGGCCACCCUGGAAGUGAGACAGGGUCAAGGGGACUAAGGGAGGGAGCAGUAGGGAAUGUGACGCAGUGGGGGAAAGCAUGACGGAGCAACGCCGAGUGAGAGAUGAAGGCCCCGGGAGCGUAAAACUCUGUUAUUAGGGAAGAACCUCUGUGUAAGUAAAUGUGCACUUCGUGACGGUACCUAAUCAGAAAGCAACGGCUAACUACGUG
This 497-nucleotide ribosomal RNA is filed under the name uncultured bacterium. RNAcentral describes it as "partial 16S ribosomal RNA". It matches the Rfam family "Bacterial small subunit ribosomal RNA", at positions 28 to 507 of the family's 1533-position model. The record is from RNAcentral.